Molecule: long non-coding RNA, 2251 nt
Organism: Balaenoptera ricei (Rice's whale)
Lineage: Eukaryota; Metazoa; Chordata; Mammalia; Artiodactyla; Balaenopteridae
Exons: 13
Source: RefSeq, a predicted model, not a curated record
GGUGGGGGCUUCUGGAGGGCGCGCCCGUCACCUGGCGGCCGUCGGACCUCAGGCCCAGAGAGCCCAGCACCAGGUUCAGUUGCCAAGGGACACCUCCGAAGAGGACUGCUGAGCCACAGCUGGUCCGUGCGCGCCCCAGACUGCGCUCCUUCGCUCCUUGAGAAGUAACGGAGAGAGAGAGAGAGAGAGAGAGAGAGACUAAGAGAAAAAGGAGAGAGACAGAGACAGAGAGGGUUACUGGCAGAUCAGCUUCACCUCUCCUCCAAAGAAAGAUAUUAUCUUUAUUGUCUGGAAUGUCUCCAGGAAGAAGAGGGAAUCAUCUCAUCUUUACUAUCCUGGUCAGCAAACAAGUCUGUUCUUCGGCCUCUAGGGAGACAGUAUUUCUAGCUUCCAAGACUUUUUGCCAAGAGAACAAUCUUGAAAAGGAGAGCUGAGACUGCAAGGUAAACCAACUGAAUUCCAAUGAAUGGCAUACGGCUCUGAGAAGAGAUGAAUCUAAAGGAUGAUUUCAUUCCUGACAGAACAUUAGAGGAAAGUAUUGCUGUCAUCAAAGCAGAAUUUAAAUCUCAACAACCAGAUCAACUGGAAUCUAAGGGAUGAUGACGGUGACCUUUUCUGACCCUCAUGACUUCAAUCAACUAAAGCUUGGACUCUACCAUCCAAGCCCCUUCAUGUAUAUGCAUGUACCAAUAGCUUAAACUUCCCCAGUUUCGCUGUUCAGAGAGACACUUCUUUGGGAAAAACCCCUGGUAUUCUCCUUACUUGCAGCAAGUAAUAAGUCCUUCUCCAGCAAUCUGGCUUGGUUGUGUCUUUUGGCGACACCACCAAGAGGCUAACCCAGUUUUCAGGUGUAGCUGAUGGCCUUGGAAAGCAGACCAGCUUUUGAGUAGCAACUCUGAAAUACUCUGUUCCCUGAGCGGACGUUGAGACAAACACUUCAGAGCUUUGAGGGAUGCCUGCGAAGUUUUUUCUCCUCAUCAGAGGUGUACUCGGCGUCUUCCACCUCGGGUCUUAAUCAGGCGACUGUGUCUGUGGGAACACCGGAGGUGUCGGCUCCGUUUGGGAACCCAGCGUGGUUUCCAAGGACAUUCACAAGGACGAGGAGCUCUGAGUGACCUUGAAAUGAGGAAGCAGAUGGCCAGGAGGAAGGAUGCUAAUCAUGAGAAUCUUCAAAAGAAUGUGAGCUCUAUGAAGCCAUGAUAUUAGACUGUUUUCUUCACUGCCAUCUUUCCAGUGCCUGUGACAUUGCCGAGCUUAUUACAGGUCUUAGUUGCGGCAUGUGGGGUCUUCGUUGAGGCGUUCCGGAUCUUUCAUUGCAGCGUGGUCUCUUCGUUGUGGCACGUGGGCUUCUCUCUAGUUGUGAUAUACAGAGAGUGGCAAAAGAGUUGAUUCUUCUGAUGUGCAUAUACCCGGCUGAGGCUGAACAAGGUAUGAAAUGAAUGCAUCGAGAGAGAAGAUCAGUAAAUAAUUGACCAACUCUUCGUAGAAAGGACUAUUCCAGAUACUCUGUGGAGACUGUACUACAGGGAAUCAAGAACGUGAUUAGAGAGUUCAUUUGGGAACCUAAUACAGUAGUCCAGACAGUUCCAGGUGUACUCUGAUGCUUUUGCAAAAAUAUUCUUAUAAAAGGGUUUCAUCUUCAAGGAAUUCAUGGAAAAGACUCUGACAAGUUCAGGUUUCUGGUAACUGACUAUACUGCUGAACUGAAUGAAUAAGUAUUUUCAGAACUCUAAUGGAAAACUGAUGAAUUCAUAAAAGUGCUAACAAAGAUCAAGAUAAAAAAAAUUAAUUACAUGGGACUGAGUGAACUGAUGAGGAUGCUUAUAAUGUUUGUGACUUUCUGUUUGAAUAAAAAAAAAAAAUCCCACAAGGACUCAGAGGCAAAAAAUAUACAAAUGAAUUUUCACUGCAAAGUAAAGGAGCUGUUACAGUGGAGGAUUACUGGACUGAAUGUCAAUAUUAUGACAUAGUAUGAGUGUGUUUCGUGUUUGGUAAUUGCAAUCAUUGUUGCUUUUGUUGUGGUCAUCCAUUACCAAUGCUUGGUGUCAGUUUAUCUCUUGUAAAAAUAAAAUACAGUGUGUGUGUGUGUGUGUGAAAAAAAAAAAAGAAGAUGCAGACCUACUAGAGAAUGGACUUGAGGAUACGGGGAGGAGGAAGGGUAAGCUGGGACAAAGUGAGAGAGUGGCAUGGACAUAUAUACACUAACAAAAUAGAUAGCUAGUGGGAAGCAACCGCAUAGCACAGGGAGAUC